Leucoraja erinaceus (little skate) is the source of this 1295-nucleotide long non-coding RNA. RefSeq lists it as uncharacterized. The record is from RefSeq and is a predicted model, not a curated record. The transcript has 3 exons. Lineage: Eukaryota; Metazoa; Chordata; Chondrichthyes; Rajiformes; Rajidae.
GCCUAUCUUCGGGUUAAACCAGCAUCUGCAGUUCCUUCCUACCCAUAUUGAUCUCAAUCAGGCUCCUUUGAUUUUAAAUCCAAGUUCUUCUCUGUGAAAUUAUAAUCAAAAAGAUGUUUCGGGGAUGGGUGGGGUUUAGAUGAGUGCUUUUGGUGAUUAACCCUGGAAGGAAAUAUUCUUUCCUCUGGAAGGCCGGUCCAGUGAGCUGAUCAGUCCAUAAUUCCCAUGCUGUUUCGGAUGUUGCAGCGAUUGCUUUGAAUUGCCGCUAGCUCAUGACAGAAUGAACGUGUUUACAGUCUGGCCCAACUGCAAGCUGAACUCCCAGUGCUGAAGAGUGGGAACACCUCGACUUCUCGUUGGCACUUCCCAGGUUGUGAGGACUAACUUGAAGGCUGCUGGUUGGCUUUGAAGGCAACCUGAUGACGGGUUUUUGAAGCCUCAGUCUGCAGAGAGCAGGGGGUGAGUGCAGAUUUAUGCUGUAUCUAGCUGUCUGUUUCAAUGUUUAUCCCGAGGCAAACAGUCUGCUCACGGUAACCUGAGUAUCUGGAGUAACAGGUGGCCAACAACAAGGGGCAGAGACCAUGGAAAAUGGGAGAAAGAGGCUGCUAAUCCACCAUGACAACAGCAGUUUUUUUAAUUACAGAUUGCAACCACUUAUAUGCCAAAUCUACAAAAGUGAAACUACAUUGAUCGCGGAAAAAAUAUAUUACAACAGAAGACAGUUAUGCACUUCAUCAUUGUUGUUUACCUGCCAAAAAUUACUCAGUGGAAAUUACUUUUGUAUGCUUGCAAACAUAAGCAUUGACAUAAAUUUAUUUGCUGUUAUCAUGAUGUUAAAAGCACUCAGCUUUAAAGUUGUUUAUGAUCUACAAACUGGAAUGGAUUUACUGAACAAUUUUUCAUGUCAAUUGUGACCUCUGUAAAGAGUGCCACUGUCAUAGUAUUUUCCUUCAGCUAAUGCCUCCUCGCCUCCUGAAAUACAUCAAAUCCUGCAGAGAGAGGACCUGUAGAUAGGGUAUGCAAUAUGUUGGAAAGCUACAAGCAGACAAGCUUCAAUAUGAGGAUCUACAGUAUCUAUGUGCUAUACUUGUGAUGAAGGUGAUAAGUAUUGUACCAAGUAAUGCCACAAAAGUAUGCCGAGUUUGUUCAGAAACAUUUCUGUUUACUUUCUGAUCUUCUAAGUUGAUGUUGAUACUUGGUAUAUUAAAAUUAUUUUUUUUAAGUUUCCUUUUGUAAAUAGACCUAAAGCAAUGCCUCGUCAUGUUAGAAACGUAGAAAAUAGGUGCAGGAGUAGG